Bombyx mori (domestic silkworm) is the source of this 2550-nucleotide long non-coding RNA. RefSeq annotates it as histone-lysine N-methyltransferase SETMAR. The transcript has 3 exons. NCBI's taxonomy places the organism in Eukaryota, Metazoa, Arthropoda, Insecta, Lepidoptera, Bombycidae. The record is from RefSeq and is a predicted model, not a curated record.
AUGUUUUUUUUAUUGAUUUAAUUUAUUAUUAAUGCAAAAUAAAAAUAAAAAAUUAGCAUUCUGCACUUCCUCUCUAUAUUCGCUAUAAGUGUGGGAAAUUUCAUACUCCGCCGCCCGCGCAAUUUUGGUAAAAAGUGGUACAAAGUUUUUGGUUCAUGUAUUAAUAUACUUAUAUAGAUUCUGUUUAGUCACAACAUUUUUCUUAAAAAAUGUCAAAAUGGACGUCAAGAAAAAUUUUCAGAUUUUCUUCACAAUAUUUUAAAUAAACGUGAAAUUAAAUGAUCACAGUGUAAAAUUAUAUAUUAUAAUUAUUUGUAUAGUGAAAUACUCCUCUAUAUCCGUGGAUAAAAAUACAUUUGUGUCUAGGAAUAAGCCUCACCUCAGAGUUGGUAGUUAAUUCCCUGCGCUUACGUUACCACAGUUCGAAAAUUUUUGCUGAAACAUAAAAUGCCUGCUUUUCUAAUCAAUGGUUUAUCAUCAUCGGAAUCUGCUGGGACCUCUUCCUCAAUUUUAAUGUGAUUUUCGCUGUUACAUAAUCUUCCUUGGAGAUAUCAAAAUAGUAUCGUAACAAGUAAACAAUACCCCAAACACUCAAUAUCGGAUGUUCCCGGAAGAUACACGAGAGAUAAGCAAAGAUUUUUGCGCCAAGCCUGGUCUAUGAGACGAAUGUUUGUGAAUCUAGGGCUAAGAUAAAUUACAGUGCUACAUCCGCAAGUCAGUCCGGUGCAACCGCGUCACAGGAACCCGUGCAAUGCGUUUUUGAAGGGACAAAGAGGUUUGCACAUACACAAAAGUAGGUGCCAUAAGGGCCGGCAACCGCAUAAACAUGGAACCACAAAGACGUAAACAAUAUACCUAUAGCUAGUCAACUUGACUCUGCAUUGAUGGCCAUUAAUAAUGAAGCAAAUAAAUGUAUAUGAAACCUGGAAAAGAUUACGGAUUCCUAGAAAAACUCUUCGGAACAAGAGAGAUCACAAGUAUACUGAAGAAUAUUAUGGAGUUCAAACCGUUUUCAUUAAGGAUGAAGAACAAAAGUUAAUAGACUGGAUUCACUAUUUGGGAAGACUAGAUUUUCCUGUAAAAAAGCCAGCUAUUGGAGAUGGUGUCAAAAUUAUUGGAAACAUUAAAUCUCCCACACCCAUUUAAAGACAAAGUACCAGGAAGACACUGGCUUCAAAAUUUCAUCAAAACCAUCCCACAAUUUCAAAGAAGAGUUGUCCUAAAUUUGCCAACGUAUAUAAAUGAAGUGAAAGAAGAAACGUCAUGGUUUACGAGGGCUGCACUAAAAGUAUCGGGAAUGGAAUAUUUCCACUGUUCCUGUCAUAUUAAAAUCUUUUUAAUUAAAAACUCCUUGGUUUUAAAAAUCGAAUACAAUUUAUUUAUUUAAAAAAAGAUUCUCGGUCUUGUCACGAGGUUUUGUCAAACUUGUUUAGUCGUUGAGAAAAUGGAAUUGACUCGAGAAAAUUCAAGAGCGAUGAUUUAUUAUGACUUUCGAAGUGGUUUAACACAAAAACAGUGUGUUGACCGGAUGAUUUCUGCAUUUGGUGAUGAAGCCCCAUCCAAAACCACAAUUUAUCGCUGGUUUGCUGAGUUUCAACGUGGACGUGUCAAGCUCAGUGAUGAUCCCCGUCAAGGUCGUCCAAAAACUGCAGUCACCCAAGAAAACGUUGAUGCUGUGCGUAAGCUGAUUGAGGAAGAUCGACAUGUGACAUACCGCGAAAUUCAAGCAACUUUAGACAUUGGCAUGAGUCAAAUACAAAUAAUCUUGCAUGAACAAUUAGGUGUAAAAAAGUUGUUUAUCCGAUGGAUACCGCAUUCGCUCUGUGAAGAGCAAAAAGCGGCUCGCGUUACUUGGUGCGUCAGAACUCUCGAAAUAUUCCACGCAGGAUCCUCAAAUGCUGUAUACAACAUUGUAUCAGGUGACGAAUCCUGGAUAUAUGCGUACGAACCCGAAACAAAAAACCAGUCACGAGUUUGGGUGUUCGAAAAUGAGUUAAAGCCAACAAAAAUUGUUCGUUCACGGAGUGUUGCAAAAAAAAUGGUGGCCACGUUUGUCUCCAAAACCGGCCAUGUUACGAUUAUUCCUCUUGAGGGACAAAGAACGGUUAAUGCAGAAUGGUAUGCUAGCAUUUGUUUGCCACAGGUCGUUUCUGAACUCCGUAAAGAGAACUGCAACCGCCGCAUCAUCCUCCAUCACGACAAUGCGAGUUCUCACACCGCGCACAGAACAAAAGAGUUUUUAGAGCAAGAAAACAUAGAAUUAUUAGACCAUCCGCCGUAUAGCCCCGACCUAAGCCCUAAUGGUUUCUAUACUUUCCCUAAAAUAAAGAAUAAAUUGCGUGGACAGAGAUUUUCAUCACCUGAAGAAGCUGUGGACGCCUACAAAACGGCCAUUUUGGAGACCCCAACUUCCGAAUGGAAUGGUUGCUUCAAUGAUUGGUUCCAUCGUAUGGAAAAAUGUGUCAAAUUUCGCGGAGAAUACUUCGAAAAGCAAUAAAUACAUGUUUAAAUAGUAAUGUUGUGUCACUUCGUUAAUUCCCGAAAUUUUCA